AGGGUUUGAUUAUGGCUCAGGAUGAACGCUGGCGGCGUGCCUAAUACAUGCAAGUAGAACGCUGAAGCUUGGUGCUUGCACCGAGUGGAUGAGUUGCGAACGGGUGAGUAACGCGUAGGUAACCUGCCUGGUAGCGGGGGAUAACUAUUGGAAACGAUAGCUAAUACCGCAUAACAACAGUUGUUGCAUGACAGCUGUUUGAAAGGGGCAAUUGCUCCACUACCAGAUGGACCUGCGUUGUAUUAGCUAGUUGGUGAGGUAACGGCUCACCAAGGCGACGAUACAUAGCCGACCUGAGAGGGUGAUCGGCCACACUGGGACUGAGACACGGCCCAG
RNAcentral lists this ribosomal RNA (336 nucleotides) under uncultured bacterium. RNAcentral's name for it is "bacterial SSU rRNA". It matches the Rfam family "Bacterial small subunit ribosomal RNA", at positions 8 to 334 of the family's 1533-position model. The record is from RNAcentral.